RNAcentral lists this ribosomal RNA (767 nucleotides) under Shigella flexneri. RNAcentral describes it as "bacterial SSU rRNA". It matches the Rfam family "Bacterial small subunit ribosomal RNA", at positions 778 to 1533 of the family's 1533-position model. Lineage: Bacteria; Pseudomonadati; Pseudomonadota; Gammaproteobacteria; Enterobacterales; Enterobacteriaceae. The record is from RNAcentral.
UUAGAUACCCUGGUAGUCCACGCCGUAAACGAUGUCGACUUGGAGGUUGUGCCCUUGAGGUGUGGCUUCCGGAGCUAACGCGUUAAGUCGACCGCCUGGGGAGUACGGCCGCAAGGUUAAAACUCAAAUGAAUUGACGGGGGCCCGCACAAGCGGUGGAGCAUGUGGUUUAAUUCGAUGCAACGCGAAGAACCUUACCUGGUCUUGACAUCCACGGAAGUUUUCAGAGAUGAGAAUGUGCCUUCGGGAACCGUGAGACAGGUGCUGCAUGGCUGUCGUCAGCUCGUGUUGUGAAAUGUUGGGUUAAGUCCCGCAACGAGCGCAACCCUUAUCCUUUGUUGCCAGCGGUCCGGCCGGGAACUCAAAGGAGACUGCCAGUGAUAAACUGGAGGAAGGUGGGGAUGACGUCAAGUCAUCAUGGCCCUUACGACCAGGGCUACACACGUGCUACAAUGGCGCAUACAAAGAGAAGCGACCUCGCGAGAGCAAGCGGACCUCAUAAAGUGCGUCGUAGUCCGGAUUGGAGUCUGCAACUCGACUCCAUGAAGUCGGAAUCGCUAGUAAUCGUGGAUCAGAAUGCCACGGUGAAUACGUUCCCGGGCCUUGUACACACCGCCCGUCACACCAUGGGAGUGGGUUGCAAAAGAAGUAGGUAGCUUAACCUUCGGGAGGGCGCUUACCACUUUGUGAUUCAUGACUGGGGUGAAGUCGUAACAAGGUAACCGUAGGGGAACCUGCGGUUGGAUCACCUCCUUACCUUAAAGAAGC